This 580-nucleotide ribosomal RNA is filed under the name Trichophaea abundans. RNAcentral's name for it is "eukaryotic LSU rRNA". It matches the Rfam family "Eukaryotic large subunit ribosomal RNA", at positions 54 to 648 of the family's 3401-position model. The record is from RNAcentral. Lineage: Eukaryota; Fungi; Ascomycota; Pezizomycetes; Pezizales; Pyronemataceae.
AGCAAAAGAAACCAACAGGGAUUGCCUCAGUAACUGCGAGUGAAGCGGCAAAAGCUCAAAUUUGAAAUCUGGCGCCUUCGGCGUCCGAGUUGUAAUUUGGAGGGGCAUCUUCGGGUUNGGCGCCGUCCUAAGUUCCUUGGAACAGGACGUCACAGAGGGUGAGAAUCCCGUGCCUGGGCGGCAGUCCAAAUCCAUGUGAAGUGUCUCCGACGAGUCGAGUUGUUUGGGAAUGCAGCUCAAAAUGGGUGGUAAAUUUCAUCUAAAGCUAAAUAUUGGCGAGAGACCGAUAGCGCACAAGUAGAGUGAUCGAAAGAUGAAAAGCACUUUGAAAAGAGAGUUAAAAAGUACGUGAAAUUGUUGAAAGGGAAGCGCUUGCGACCAGACUCGGUCUUUGGGGGUCAUCCGGGUUUCGGCUCGGUGCCAUCCCCAUUGAUCGGGCCAGCAUCGGUUCCGGCGGCGGGAUAAAAGGCGAGGGAAUGUGGCUCUCUUCGGGGAGUGUUAUAGCCCUCGUCACAAUGCCGCCAGCUGGGACCGAGGACCGCGCUUCGGCUAGGAUGCUGGCGUAAUGGUCUUAAGCGAC